AGCUAACUAAAUAGAUAGUGACACAGAGGAAUUCUACGAUGCUGCUGAAGACGUCAAUUUUACUGGCUGCGUUGGACCGGAGGGCGACUCUGGCUGCGUCGGACCGGAGGGCGACUCUGGCUGCGUCGGACCGGAGGGCUCUCUUGGGCAUAGGUGCCGGACACUCGGGCUGAGGCACUGUCGUCGGGCACUCUGGGUUAGGUGCUGUCGCUAUGCCAUCUGGGCGAGGCGCAUGCACUGAAGGCCUGGUACGUGGGGCUGGCGUAGGGGACGCCGGACUAGGCCCACGUACCUCAGGGCUAGUGCUAGGGGCAAGAGUAGGACGAGUUGGGCUGGGCUGCCGCACUGGGAGCCUGGUGCUGGCUUCGGGGGAGUCAGACUAGGGACACACACACACACACCUGUAGGCUUGUGCGGAGAGCAGGGAUAGGUCGAGCUGGACUAGGCUGCCGCUCGGGAAGCCUGGUGCGCGGUGCUGGCUUCGGAGGAGCCACACUAGAGACACGCACCUGUGGGCUUCUACAAGGAGCAGGAGUAGGAUACACCGGGCCUUGGGUAAGUACUGGAAGUCUCGAGCUCAUCUCCUGCACAACCUGUCCUGGCUGGAUGGCAGUAUUCGCCCUGUACCAGCGGGUCCGCUUGUGCAGGGCUGCUAUUUCCAUCCAGCCAGGACGGGUUGUGCAAGAGGUGCGCUCCAGACCUCCAGUACUUACCCAUGGCCUGGUAUAUCCAGUUCCUGUUUCUCGUGCUGACCCUGAGGUGCGUAUCCAUAGUCUGGCGUCUCCUAAACCAGCACCACGCACCAGGCUUCCAGUGGUUCAGCCCAGUCCAACUCGUCCUGUUCCUGCUCCUCGCAGUAGCCCUGAGGUGCGUGUCCCCAGUCUGGUACCUCCACUACCAGCCCCACGCAUUAGGCUUCCAGUGCGUCAGCCCAGUACCUCGUCCAGAGUGUCCGGCAACAGUACCUCGUCCAGAGUGUCCGGCAACAGUACCUCGUCCAGAGUGUCCGGCAACAGUACCUCGUCCAGAGUGUCCGGCAACAGUACCUCGUCCAGAGUGUCCGGCAACAGUGUCUAGUCCGGAACCGAGUGAGUCGGCCUACAGUCCAGAGCUCCUAGAGUCGGCCUACAGUCCAGAGCUCCUAGAGUCGGCCUACAGUCCAGAGCUCCCAGAGCAGAGUCCAGGGUCCUCAGUGACUGGCCUCUGGCAAAGAUCCCCUCUGCAGUGACACUGUGUACUGUAUAGACAGAGCACAGUGUCAGGAACCUGAGCCAGAAUGGAUCCCCGCUGUGGAUCAGGCCCUCUCUCUGUUCCUGUUCCUCCAGCACAGUGACCAAUUCCUCUCCCAGCUCUCUGACUUCAUGGGUGGUCACCAUGGAGGGCAUGAAUACCUCAGGGAGGAAGUUGGUAGCAUCUAAACUCUGAGGUCAGAGGGAUUCCUCUAAAACAUCUUUGUUCGAUUUCCUGGAUCCUGAUCAAGCCUAUUCCAAGACUAAAAGCAUGUUCGACUGAGAUUCUCAAGCUGACCGGUAUGACUUCAUGGAGAUUCUCAAGCUGACCGGUAUGACUUCAUGGAGAUGCUCAAGAAACCCUCUCCCUACAUCCCCUCUGAUGGCCUGACCUUUGACCCCCUGGUGGACCUCAUCAACGUCAUUAUCGGGGACCUCCCCGAUGUCUGCAUACUGCUGGGACCCUUUGUGGACUCCUAACAUGAGCAGAUAGAGAAAUCUCUGUUGACCGAGACGUUUGAUGCCAUCUUCUCCAGAUGUGUGGGGAGCAUCGUGAAAGGCACCGAAGGAGUUGGAUGUCGGUUUGUAUUUGUUCCCCCCCGAGAGAGAUGUCCACCAUCACUUCAUUUACCCACAACCCCCUUUCACCCUGCCGGACCUCCGCAAGGACGAUGCAAAGCAUGUGACCCUGGUGCCUGACCCCUGCACCCUGCUCAUUGAGGGCGUGACCUUUAGCCUGACCUCUACAGACAUCCUGUCCUACAUGGGAGCAGAGGAGGUCAGCUGAUUCUCACGCAUCUUGAAACAUAUGCUGACCUGGAGAAACUACUACCCCCUGUAACCGCCUGUGGAGGAGGUGAACAUGGACUAUGAGACGUUCCAGAACCACGGCCAGAUGCCCCUCAGUCAUGAUGUGCUCAUCGUCUCCUCCGAGCUGCGCUUAUUCAUCAAGGAUGUGAUUGGCUGCGUAUGUGUCAAUCCUGGAUGCCUGACCAAGGGCCAGGUGGGAGGGAGUUACGGCAGGCUGCUCAUCCAGAGGAGCUCCACAUCGAUAGAUGGAAAGAGAGUCCGUCCCUGUGAUGCCAGUCAAGUGGUCAAGAUCUAACCUGAAUUAAAGACUGACUGAAGAUUGAUUCCUCUCCUACCUCUAAUAUCCUCUAAUAUUACAAAAUGAUCUAUUGUACAACAACUAUUAAUGUAGCUAGCUGCUUACGAUAAUUUCAUUGGAUAAUUUGCUCAGUCCUGUAUGUGCUUGUUAUCCUACUGAAUCACUAGUGAUUUUACAGUGUAGUUUUCCUGAGACAUGUUGGGCACUUCAAUGAUUAUCAGUCAUAUAUUCUGAUUCUCAC
Molecule: long non-coding RNA, 2578 nt
Filed under: Salmo salar (Atlantic salmon)
Lineage: Eukaryota; Metazoa; Chordata; Actinopteri; Salmoniformes; Salmonidae
Description: lncRNA (ENSSSAG00000092336.1, ENSSSAG00000115273.1)
Source: RNAcentral